This 674-nucleotide ribosomal RNA is filed under the name uncultured bacterium. RNAcentral's name for it is "bacterial SSU rRNA". It matches the Rfam family "Bacterial small subunit ribosomal RNA", at positions 143 to 803 of the family's 1533-position model. The record is from RNAcentral.
AUAACAUUUGGAAACAGAUGCUAAUACCGCAUAACAAUUUGAAUCGCAUGAUUCAAAUUUAAAAGAUGGUUUCGGCUAUCACUUUGGGAUGGACCUGCGGCGCAUUAGCUUGUUGGUAGGGUAACGGCCUACCAAGGCUGUGAUGCGUAGCCGAGUUGAGAGACUGAUCGGCCACAAUGGAACUGAGACACGGUCCAUACUCCUACGGGAGGCAGCAGUAGGGAAUCUUCCACAAUGGGCGCAAGCCUGAUGGAGCAACACCGCGUGAGUGAAGAAGGGUUUCGGCUCGUAAAGCUCUGUUGUUAGAGAAGAACGUGCGUGAGAGUAACUGUUCACGCAGUGACGGUAUCUAACCAGAAAGUCACGGCUAACUACGUGCCAGCAGCCGCGGUAAUACGUAGGUGGCAAGCGUUAUCCGGAUUUAUUGGGCGUAAAGCGAGCGCAGGCGGUUUGAUAAGUCUGAUGUGAAAGCCUUUGGCUUAACCAAAGAAGUGCAUCGGAAACUGUCAGACUUGAGUGCAGAAGAGGACAGUGGAACUCCAUGUGUAGCGGUGGAAUGCGUAGAUAUAUGGAAGAACACCAGUGGCGAAGGCGGCUGUCUGGUCUGUAACUGACGCUGAGGCUCGAAAGCAUGGGUAGCGAACAGGAUUAGAUACCCUGGUAGUCCAUGCCGU